GCCGGGCGUGGUGGCUCACGCCUGUAAUCCCAGCACUUUGGGAGGCCGAGGUGGGUGGAUCACCUGAGGUCAGGAGUUCGAGACCAGCCUGACCAACAUGGUGAAACCCCAUCUCUA
Molecule: signal recognition particle RNA, 117 nt
Filed under: Pan troglodytes (chimpanzee)
Lineage: Eukaryota; Metazoa; Chordata; Mammalia; Primates; Hominidae
Description: Metazoan signal recognition particle RNA
Rfam family: Metazoan signal recognition particle RNA
About the family: The signal recognition particle (SRP) is a universally conserved ribonucleoprotein. It is involved in the co-translational targeting of proteins to membranes. The eukaryotic SRP consists of a 300-nucleotide 7S RNA and six proteins: SRPs 72, 68, 54, 19, 14, and 9.
Source: Rfam by way of RNAcentral